RNAcentral lists this ribosomal RNA (293 nucleotides) under uncultured bacterium. RNAcentral describes it as "partial 16S ribosomal RNA". It matches the Rfam family "Bacterial small subunit ribosomal RNA", at positions 505 to 796 of the family's 1533-position model. The record is from RNAcentral.
GUGUCAGCCGCCGCGGUAAAACGUAGGAGGCGAGCGUUAUCCGGAUUUACUGGGUGUAAAGCGCGAGCAGGCGGUUGUGCAAGUCAUGUGUGAAAGCGCUCAGGCUCAACCGGGCGAGGACGGGUGAAACUGCACAACUGGAGGCAGGUAGAGGCGGAUGGAAUUCCGGGUGUAGUGGUGAAAUGCGUAGAGAUCCGGAGGAACACCAGUGGCGAAGGCGGUCCGCUGGGCCUGGCCUGACGCUCAGACGCGAAAGCAUGGGGAGCGAACGGGAUUAGAUACCCUCGUAGUCC